AUUGAACGCUGGCGGCAUGCCUUACACAUGCAAGUCGAACGGCAGCACGGGAGCAAUCCUGGUGGCGAGUGGCGAACGGGUGAGUAAUAUAUCGGAACGUGCCCAGUCGUGGGGGAUAACGUAGCGAAAGCUACGCUAAUACCGCAUACGAUCUAUGGAUGAAAGCGGGGGAUCGCAAGACCUCGCGCGAUUGGAGCGGCCGAUAUCAGAUUAGGUAGUUGGUGAGGUAAGGGCUCACCAAGCCGACGAUCUGUAGCUGGUCUGAGAGGACGACCAGCCACACUGGGACUGAGACACGGCCCAGACUCCUACGGGAGGCAGCAGUGGGGAAUUUUGGACAAUGGGCGCAAGCCUGAUCCAGCAAUGCCGCGUGCAGGAUGAAGGCC
Molecule: ribosomal RNA, 386 nt
Filed under: uncultured bacterium
Lineage: Bacteria
Description: bacterial SSU rRNA
Rfam family: Bacterial small subunit ribosomal RNA
Source: RNAcentral